UCUUCCCUCUGGCGGCGUGCCUAAUACAUGCAAGUCGAGCGAACGGACGAGAAGCUUGCUUCUCUGAUGUUAGCGGCGGACGGGUGAGUAACACGUGGAUAACCUACCUAUAAGACUGGGAUAACUUCGGGAAACCGUAGCUAAUACCGGAUAAUAUUUUGAACCGCAUGGUUCAAAAGUGAAAGACGGUCUUGCUGUCACUUAUAGAUGGAUCCGCGCUGCAUUAGCUAGUUGGUAAGGUAACGGCUUACCAAGGCAACGAUGCAUAGCCGACCUGAGAGGGUGAUCGGCCACACUGGAACUGAGACACGGUCCAGACUCCUACGGGAGGCAGCAGUAGGGAAUCUUCCGCAAAGGGCGAAAGCCUGACGGAGCAACGCCGCGUGAGUGAUGAAGGUCUUCGGAUCGUAAAACUCUGUUAUUAGUGAAGAACAUAUGUGUAAGUAACUGUGCACAUCUUGACGGUACCUAAUCAGAAAGCCACGGCUAACUACGUG
RNAcentral lists this ribosomal RNA (497 nucleotides) under uncultured bacterium. RNAcentral describes it as "partial 16S ribosomal RNA". It matches the Rfam family "Bacterial small subunit ribosomal RNA", at positions 36 to 507 of the family's 1533-position model. The record is from RNAcentral.